This 1294-nucleotide long non-coding RNA is filed under the name Sparus aurata (gilthead seabream). RNAcentral's name for it is "lncRNA (ENSSAUG00010003046.1)". Lineage: Eukaryota; Metazoa; Chordata; Actinopteri; Spariformes; Sparidae. The record is from RNAcentral.
CGCCUGUCGCUCCUGAUGCUGAUUGGUUCAACCACUGUGUUCAGAACCCAGUGAGCUUGUAGCCUGGCAGUGAAGAUUUGCAAGAUCACGUGAUGAUGCAAAUCCAGCUGCCUCACACAGUGAUGUGACACCAGAUAAAGAACUCAGUACAGAAACUUAAACGAUGUGUUCGAGGUCACAGAAACAUGAAGACAAAACAAGUUAGUAAGAAGUCGAGAAACUGACGGACAGUUCAGCUCCAUCACAACGUUCAUUAACUGUUAAUAAAAGGCGCUGCCAGAAGUCGAUUUAGAACCAGGGACAGAACCAGAGACAGAACCAGAGACAGAACCAGGGACUGAACCAGAGACAGAACCAGGGACAGAACCAGGGACUGACUCGGUGCUGAUGUGUCCUCACGUGUCCACAGAUAAAUCCAAACAGGGAAGGUGUCGGUCCUGCAGCAGGUUUCAUUCAGAGAGCAGCGGCUGAAGGAGAACAUGUCAUCUCUGUGAUCGCGUUACGUAAUCAGCGUCGUCUGCCAACAGAAACAAACCAGCGAGGCUCCACAGAACCUUCACUGAGACGUCCUGAGGAGGUAAAGAACCUACAGACGUCCUGAGGAGGUAAAGAACCUACAGACGUCCUGAGGAGGUAAAGAACCUACAGACGUCCUGAGGAGGUAAAGAACCUACAGACGUCCUGAGGAGGUAAAGAACCUACAGACGUCCUGAGGAGGUAAAGAACCUACAGACGUCCUGAGGAGGUAAAGAACCUACAGACGUCCUGAGGAGGUAAAGAAACUACAGACGUCCUGAGGAGGUAAAGAACCUACAGACGUCCUGAGGAGGUAAAGAACCUACAGACGUCCUGAGGAGGUAAAGAACCUACAGACGUCCUGAGGAUGUAAAGAACCUACAGACGUCCUGAGGAUGUAAAGAACCUACAGACGUCCUGAGGAGGUAAAGAACCUACAGACGUCCUGAGGAGGUAAAGAAACUACAGACGUCCUGAGGAGGUAAAGAACCUACAGACGUCCUGAGGAGGUAAAGAACCUACAGACGUCCUGAGGAGGUAAAGAACCUACAGACGUCCUGAGGAUGUAAAGAACCUACAGACGUCCUGAGGAGGUAAAGAACCUACAGACGUCCUGAGGAUGUAAAGAACCUACAGACGUCCUGAGGAGGUAAAGAACCUACAGACGUCCUGAGGAUGUAAAGAACCUACAGACGUCCUGAGGAUGUAAAGAACCUACAGACGUCCUGAGGAUGUAAAGAACCUACAGACGUCCUGAGGAGGUAAAGAACCUACAGAC